UUUGAUCCUGGCUCAGAUUGAACGCUGGCGGCAUGCUUUACACAUGCAAGUCGAACGGCAGCGCGGGGCAACCUGGCGGCGAGUGGCGAACGGGUGAGUAAUAUAUCGGAACGUACCCAAGAGUGGGGGAUAACGUAGCGAAAGUUACGCUAAUACCGCAUACGAUCUAAGGAUGAAAGCAGGGGAUCUUCGGACCUUGUGCUCCUGGAGCGGCCGAUAUCUGAUUAGCUAGUUGGUGAGGUAAAGGCUCACCAAGGCGACGAUCAGUAGCUGGUCUGAGAGGACGACCAGCCACACUGGAACUGAGACACGGUCCAGACUCCUACGGGAGGCAGCAGUGGGGAAUUUUGGACAAUGGGCGAAAGCCUGAUCCAGCAAUGCCGCGUGAGUGAAGAAGGCCUUCGGGUUGUAAAGCUCUUUUGUCAGGGAAGAAACGGUUGAGGCUAAUAUCCUCGACUAAUGACGGUACCUGAAGAAUAAGCACCGGCUAACUACGUG
This 498-nucleotide ribosomal RNA is filed under the name uncultured Massilia sp. RNAcentral's name for it is "bacterial SSU rRNA". It matches the Rfam family "Bacterial small subunit ribosomal RNA", at positions 12 to 507 of the family's 1533-position model. The record is from RNAcentral. Lineage: Bacteria; Pseudomonadati; Pseudomonadota; Betaproteobacteria; Burkholderiales; Oxalobacteraceae.